RNAcentral lists this ribosomal RNA (493 nucleotides) under uncultured bacterium. RNAcentral describes it as "bacterial SSU rRNA". It matches the Rfam family "Bacterial small subunit ribosomal RNA", at positions 8 to 525 of the family's 1533-position model. The record is from RNAcentral.
AGAGUUUGAUCCUGGCUCAGGACGAACGCUGGCGGCGUGCUUAACACAUGCAAGUCGAACGGGAGUACUUUGAAAGCUUGCUGAUAAGUACUUUAGUGGCGGACGGGUGAGUAACGCGUGAGGAGCUGUCUUAUGCAGGGGGACAACAGUUGGAAACGGCUGCUAAUACCCCAUAAGCCGAGAGGUAAAAGGAGCAAUCCGGCAGAGGAGGUACUCGCGUCCUAUCAGCUAGUAGGUUGGGUAACGGCCGACCUAGGCGAAGACGGGUAGCCGGCCUGAGAGGGCGAACGGCCACACUGGAACUGAGAUACGGUCCAGACUCCUACGGGAGGCAGCAGUGGGGAAUAUUGGGCAAUGGGGGCAACCCUGACCCAGCGACGCCGCGUGGGUGAAGAAAUCCUUCGGGAUGUAAAGCCCUGUUGUAUGGGAAGAGCAGAAGACGGUACCAUACGAGGAAGCCCCGGCAAACUACGUGCCAGCAGCCGCGGUAAUA